GAUGAAGAACGCAGCGAAAUGCGAUACUUGGUGUGAAUUGCAGAAUCCCGUGAACCAUCGAGUCUUUGAACGCAAGUUGCGCCCGAAGCCAUUAGGCCGAGGGCACGCCUGCCUGGGCGUCACACGUCGUUGCCCCCCCAUCUACUCCUUCGGGAUUGCGGGGGGCGGAUGAUGGCCUCCCGUGCGCCUCGUCGCGCGGUUGGCAUAAAUGCCAAGUCCUCGGCGACGCACGCCACGACAAUCGGUGGUUGCGAAACCUCGGUUGCCCGUCGUGUGCGGUCGUCGCGCAUCUAGGGCUCGAAAAAAUUGCCGGGCUCCGGCUCGGCUUUCAACGCGACCCCAGGUCAGGCGGGGUUACCCGCUGAAUUUAAGCAUAUCAAUAAGCGGAGGA
This 391-nucleotide unclassified non-coding RNA is filed under the name soil metagenome. RNAcentral's name for it is "partial contains 5.8S ribosomal RNA, internal transcribed spacer 2, and large subunit ribosomal RNA". The stretch from base 1 to 122 matches the Rfam family "5.8S ribosomal RNA", at positions 35 to 154 of the family's 154-position model. The record is from RNAcentral.